Ziziphus jujuba (common jujube) is the source of this 5384-nucleotide long non-coding RNA. RefSeq lists it as uncharacterized. The transcript has 2 exons. The record is from RefSeq and is a predicted model, not a curated record. Lineage: Eukaryota; Viridiplantae; Streptophyta; Magnoliopsida; Rosales; Rhamnaceae.
UUUGGGCCUUCAGUAUCUGGGCCAUGGACCUCUAAGCCUGUGCCAGAAAUCAAGAAUGAAAUAAAUAGUCAACGGCCUCAAUUCACUAGCCGUUGGAUUUAUAAUGUCGGACGACCAUGGACUUUUCGAUUUGCAAAGAUCUAACGGCCCCAAUUUACUAGCCGUUGGUUUUUCUUUCUUUCUUUCUUUCUUUCGCAUAGAAUCAGAGAUCACUGAGGGUGAGCGUGAAACAGCAAGACUCUGAGAGAGAGAGAGAGAGAGAGAGAGAGGUCGUUUAUGAUGGAGUGUUUCUCUGAAGAUCGGACGGGAACAAUCCGGGCGGGAUUGGAUCGGCGAAUGUUCAAGGUAACUAACUUAAAAUUUGACAGAAAUGAAGUAUAGUUUGAAUUUAUAAAUCAGCGACUAAACCAUAAUUUAAUGGUCUGAAUUUAUAAAUUAGCGACGAAACCCUAAUUUAAGCCCCAAUUCGAGAAUUGUAUUCUCGAAUUUUUUUUAUUUUUUUUUAAAAUUUUUAAAUUGGAAGGGGGAAAUUCGCUUUGGAGUUGGGACACUACCGGAGAGUAUUGGGCGACACUAACCAGAACGUAAUCGGACCUCUUUCAUUCCUCUUCUGCAGUCAACAAGAGAGAGGCAUUUUCGGUGUAAUUAUCUGUAGGCUCCGAAAAUGAAAAUUUUCGAGUGUUGUGUAAGUAGCUUUUUUGUGUCAAGAAAAAAUGAUUGAUUUAACUCAACUGGGUCUAGUCUAAUAGGUGCAUUUUCUUUUUGGGUAGUAGUUCUAGUAGCUCUGCAAAAUGGAGUUUCUGAUUUAUUAUUAUUUUUCAAUUGUUUCUCUUAUUAUAUUAUUUUGAAAUUUUUGAAUAUUUUCCUUGUCUUCCACAGCAACCAAAUGGAUAGUCUUAAAUAAGGUCAAUGCAUACUGUGCGAUAACAAAAUCUACCCUAGGUACCAUUAUUGUGAAAAAGAAGAGGACUUUAAUUAUUCAAAAUUAUUCUUCUGGUCAUAUAGAUGCAUAUAGGUUCAAUGUGGUAUUUGACCGAUGUGUAUAAUUGCUUUAACAAGAAACUGAGAAAUCAGUCUUUAUCUGAUCCCUAACACAAUUGAAUCUGAAGAUUGUAUGUACCAGCACAGAGACAAUGAGGAAAAUGGCAUAUAGGUUCAAUGAAAUAUUUGACUGGUGUAUAAUUGCUUUAACAAGAAACUGAGAAACCAGUCUCUAUCUGAUCCCUAAUACAAUUGAAUCUGAAGAUUGUAUGCACAAUGAUGGAACAGAUUGAUCAAAUGGUAUUUACUUACCCAUCCCCAGUUUUGCUUAAAAAUUUAUAUGGACAAUUCUUAAAAGAAUUUAACGAUAACAAAACUUCUGAAUAGAUUGCCAUAAUAGAUUGCCAUUGUUAUUUGUUUUCCUGCAGGAGGAAGUGGAAAUGGGAGUUCAUAUUCUUGCUUCUUCUUCUUCUUCUUUUAAUUAUAUUCUGAACAAAUGUGAAGUUUUGGGAACUAAACAUCAGAUAUUUGCUUUUUGAUCUUUUAAGUUUUUCCAAUGGUGUUUCUCCUUUCUUAAUUUUCCAGGAUCAAAUUGGUCCAAAUCGCCAAGUUUAGUCUAGUUCUACUAUUUCUACCAUAUCUCUUUCUGCUGAUGUUGGUUCUUUCACUCUGUUAAAAUGCUUCUUUUUUUGGACUGUGUAUAUGAUGAAACAUGCUGGACUAACUGUGUAGAUUACCAAGAAAGUAUUUGUAUAUGCAUUAUUUGAUUUCUUUUGUAAAAUGAACGAAAAGCAUCAUUGCUUUCUUUUAGAGGACAUAAGAUCUGGGAAGCAAUUAUGCAAGAUUUUCUAUCUAAAAGCAAAUGGUAGGCAUGUAAGGCGAAAGUCCACUGCUUAUAUGUUUAUCAGUUUUUUGUCCAUGUUGAUUUAUAUUUCUGUCAUAUAUAUGAUCCUCCAUGACUUUGCACGGUUUUAUUUAAUUUUACAAGGCAAUGGAUAUUUUAAUUUAUUGAAUUUAGAUGGUUGUAUUUAAUUUUACAAGGCAAUGGAUAUUUUACUUCAUUCUAUCUCUUCCUUAGGCCUUGCACAGGUUGCUCUGCUGGGGGCUUAUCAUCAUUUUUGCGUUAUGACAACUUCAAGAAGUAUAUUUAUCAAGAAAGCUAGUGUCAAAUGCUCGAGAAUGACACAGUUAUUUUAUUUUAUUUAUUUUAUUUUUUUUUUGUGGCGAGUAGAUUCUUUCUUCUAAUACACUUUUGAUCUUACUGUCUUUAAUAUUUUUGUUGUUAUAUGAGAGACAUAAGUUUGAACCACACUAUGAGGUUUUUCUAUAAAGAUCUAGUUUCUCUAGGUACUUUCUCUUUUCACAAGUUAUAUUGUGAGGCAUUCCUUUUGUUCUGAAAAAUUUCAGUGAGCUUUUCUAGCUUGCUUUUAAAACAACACCAUUCUUCAUUUUGAAAUCAGCUCCAAGUCGACAAAUAUUUUUCCAUGCUAGAUUUAUCCAAGUUAAGCUAACAAAAACUUCCAUUUUGAAGUUGAAACAACUAUGAAUAAUUUCUUAGGACCAUAAUUUUUUAUCUGUGACUCAGACUUUGGCGUGCCACCAGUCUAUGAACUCGUAUCGAUGAGCUCUACACAAUGGUAACUAAUAAAGUUCUAAUGUUUACAGUUCCUUCAUGCAUUGGUGCCUCUUAUCCUCCUGAAUAUAGAUCUAUCCAGAUAAGUAUAUUGUUAAGGUUGCAAGGGCCUUAGCUUUCAAGAAUUUCGUACUUCUAACUUCAUGAUUUCUUUGACCAAGCCUAAGAUUUGUUGAUAUAUCAGAAAUUGGAUUUAUUUCUUAAUAUGCCAGAUUAUUAUGACUCCUUUCCUUGAUGUGCAAUUGCUUUUUACAGGUUUUUGGUGGCAUUAGCUUCUUGCUUUUGUCAUUCUUCAAUUCCUCAAGAAGAGAGGGGGGGAUGUUUGGUAAGGUACGAUAAUUUUAUGCAAAAUAUUGUUUACCAAGUACUGUUGCAUUAGACAAUUGCAUGCUAUGUUUUCAUUUGGAAACUGAAAAUUUGUGAAUUUUGAAGUUUUGCUGAAGUACAUAGUAAUGUCACUCAUGAAUUUAUGUAUAAUACAUUAUGUAUCUGAUCCUCUACUCUCACAUGAGGUUGUUAAACUGAAAUGAGUGCUCUAUAUGUUUAUUUUUGACACAAUUAAAAUAUUAUUUAUGUACUAGUUCUUUAGAUCAUUAGCCAGCAUUUAUCUAUCUGCAUGCGGAUAAAUAUUUUCCACCACAUUUAUGAGCAGUUGUAACUAUGCACUAGUUCUCUCAGAGUGAGAGCAUACUGCUUCUACAAGUGGGGCAUAUCAAUUAAUUCUCAACAUAUUCAAUUGGACUUCUCCUUGUUUUUGACUGAUCUUCUCGUUGGUUAUGCAUAUUCUUUACUAAUUGUUGCUUUUACAAAACAGAGAAAUUUUGUGAAUUCUAUUUAGUAUGGACCACUGCCCUGUAGCAGAACAUGAGUAUCCUUCUACUAUGUUUUAUUAUUAUUUUUUAUCAUAUCUGAUCGUCAAAUUAAACCUUAGGUAACAUUUUAGACCAAAAUCCUCUUGAAGGUCUAUAGGAUGAAGCAUUGUAAGUUCAGAAGAUUUAAGGCAGCCAAGAAGUUUUCGCUUUUCUGCUUUCUAUUUUUUAGGAAGUUUGAAGGUUAAUAUAUUUGAAGGUCUUGCUUUCUUCCAUUUUUUUAUUUAUUUUAUUUUAUUUUUUUUGUUCUUGGUGCUUUUAAAGAGUAUAUGUUAGAUGUAUGUGUAUGCAAAUAAUCAAACCACAAUCUCACCUCAAAGAAUAUGGUACAAUAGUGUCAGUAACUAACUUUUCCAUAUAUAUUUAACUAAUGAUUUAUGUUAAAAAGGUAUAAAAUAUGAAUAUAUUCACGAGACCAAAUAGAAAAUUUAAAAUACUGUUAGAAAGAGCGAAAGUUUUCAACAUUAGUGAAAUGAUUUAGUGUUUAAUAAUUUGCUCGUUUUAGAUAUAAUGUGUUUUAUGAUACUGGUAUGUGCUUGCUUGGCCAUCUAAUUUUUUAUGCUAGCUGUUUUCUUUUAUUUACAUUAUUUAGUUUUGUUAUUAUGGAGGACUCUCAUCUUUAGUUUUGUUAUUAAUACAUGAUUGUUAUGUGUAUUUAUGAAUUAUUUCUCCUACCAGGUAAAAAGGAUAAAAGUGAAGACAAAGAGGCAAACUGCGUUUUAUAAAGAAUAAAGUGAUAUAAUUAGAGCUGUAAACAUAUAUAUUUUUCACCAAAUAAAUAUUUUUGACGUUAAUUUUUUUUUUCUUUUUUCUUGACGUAUUUUUUUUUAAAAAUAAAAAAGUAUGAUGAUAUUAAAAUAGUUUCAAACAAAUAAAAAUUAGAGGAAAAAAUUUUUCACUGCAAGGAAAUAUAGUUAGAGUUAUGAACAUAUAUAUAAUUUUCACCAAAUAAAUAUUUUUGAGGUUAAAUAUUUAUAUGUUUGUUAUAAAGAUCUUUUCUUGACGAAACAAAAUAGAAAAAUAUUGUCUAACACAGAAUAACAAAAAAGUUGGAUUAAAGUAUAAAUAUUGUAUAUUGAUAUGAAUGUAUAAUAAUUAGUAAACUUUAAAAAUCAUUUUAUGAAUACAAAAAAUGAGGAAUCGUGCCAAAAGCUAAUUAUUUUUUAUUAAUUUUAAUUUUAUAAUUAAAUGAUUAAUGGUGUGAACGAUUUUUUUUUUUUUCCACCUGAAACUGUUUUUGAUGUUUUUAUAGUAAUAAAUAUGCAAAACUUGAAUUAUUUAAGAGACUUCUUUGUCAACUAACACUCUUAACCUUCUUAUAUCUACUAAAAAUUGUAAUAAUAUAGUGCAAUUUCAUAAUAUUGUAAGAUAUUAAGUCAUAAUACCAAAAUAUUGUAAAAAUUGUAUGUGUCAUUGUGAAUAAACUAACAAAAUACUAGAUAUACAAAAUGAUCUAAUUAAGAGAAGUAUUUCAAUUUUUAGUAUGUUAACAAAUGUACAUUAGACUUUUUUCCUAUUUUAAAGAUGAUAGGCCUCUAGAUUAAUGAAGCUGAUUAAAGUUAACGAACGAAAAAGAAAAUAUAGUGUGUUGGCAUAAAAUUAGAGACACGCACCGUAGGGGUUGGACAUUGUUGCAUGCAUGUACAUAUAAUUUUUUGUACAAUUUUUUCAUAUAUUUUCUGUCCAAGCUACAUUUAAGGUCGCCACCUACUAUGAGAUCGUCUUGCCGAAGAGAAGCUGAAGCUGGGUGGAAAUUGGUAGAAAUUGAGAAGCAUGGCUAAUGUAAUUUUUGCUAUUAUUAUGUAAUAUAGCAUUAUGUAGUGUUAUGGAAAAUGUUAUAUGUAAAAUUUUUUUUUUUUUUGGGCAAUAGAAAAUGUCACAUAUAAUUUGAGUUUAUGUUA